RNAcentral lists this ribosomal RNA (421 nucleotides) under uncultured bacterium. RNAcentral describes it as "bacterial SSU rRNA". It matches the Rfam family "Bacterial small subunit ribosomal RNA", at positions 355 to 776 of the family's 1533-position model. The record is from RNAcentral.
UGAGGAAUAUUGCUCAAUGGCCGCAAGGCUGAAGCAGCAACGCCGCGUGAGGGAUGAAGGUUCUAUGAAUCGUAAACCUCUGUAGAAGAGGAGAAACAUCCGCCUAUGGCGGACUGAUAGUACUCUUAAAGUAAGCCCCGGCUAACUACGUGCCAGCAGCCGCGGUAAUACGUAGGGGGCAAGCGUUGUCCGGAAUUACUGGGUGUAAAGGGUGCUCAGGCGGAUCUAUAAGUCAUAUGUGAAAUCCUGCAGCUUAACUGCAGAACUGCAUCUGAUACUGUAGAUCUAGAGUUCGGGAGAGGGCAAUGGAAUUCAUGGUGUAGCGGUGAAAUGCGUAGAUAUCAUGAAGAACACCAGUUGCGAAGGCGGUUGCCUGGCCCAAUACUGACGCUCAAGCACGAAAGCGUGGGGAGCAAACAGG